GACGAACGCUGGCGGCGUGCUUAACACAGGCAAGUCGAACGGAAAGACCCUGCUUUUGUGGGGUGCUCGAGUGGCGAACGGGUGAGUAACACGUGAGUAACCUGCCCUUGACUUUGGGAUAACUUCGGGAAACUGGGGCUAAUACCGGAUAGGAGCUCCUGCUGCAUGGUGGGGGUUGGAAAGUUUCGGCGGUUGGGGAUGGACUCGCGGCUUAUCAGCUUGUUGGUGGGGUAGUGGCUUACCAAGGCUUUGACGGGUAGCCGGCCUGAGAGGGUGACCGGCCACAUUGGGACUGAGAUACGGCCCAGACUCCUACGGGAGGCAGCAGUGGGGAAUAUUGCACAAUGGGCGGAAGCCUGAUGCAGCAACGCCGCGUGCGGGAUGACGGCCUUCGGGUUGUAAACCGCUUUCGCCUGUGACGAAGCGUGAGUGACGGUAAUGGGUAAAGAAGCACCGGCUAACUACGUG
RNAcentral lists this ribosomal RNA (468 nucleotides) under uncultured bacterium. Its description in RNAcentral is "partial 16S ribosomal RNA". It matches the Rfam family "Bacterial small subunit ribosomal RNA", at positions 28 to 507 of the family's 1533-position model. The record is from RNAcentral.